RNAcentral lists this long non-coding RNA (15698 nucleotides) under Gossypium raimondii (Peruvian cotton). Its description in RNAcentral is "long non-coding RNA (GRAI_LNC003399)". Lineage: Eukaryota; Viridiplantae; Streptophyta; Magnoliopsida; Malvales; Malvaceae. The record is from RNAcentral.
UAGGAAGUUCAAGAUUGAGUUGUUGAGAUGUAAUGCACUUUGACAAACUGAUGCUGGUCAAUUGAAACUUUGGGACUGAGGUAUAAAAGGAAGGUUCCAUUACCAUCUUGUUUUCAUCACCGGAAAGGACUUUGAGGUUUGAAAGGUUUGCAAAUGGUGCGAAUGAUAGUGGAAUUUGAAAACGGUUUGCUGAAAUAUCUAACUCACGAAGAGAUGUCAAGUUACUGAAACAAUGAGGAAGCAUCCCCUCAAGUGCAUUCCCACUCACAUCCAACACUUCAAGGUUCCUUAGAUCACACCAUCCUGAAAAAUUUAUAAAUUCAUUGAAGAAAUUUUAAUUAAAUUUGAUCCUAUUAAACAUAAUAGGAGAUAUUAUAUCCCAGAAGGCUCAUAAAGAAGUCAAUUUGACCCAUAAAUUUAUUUACCAUGAUUAGGUAAGGGACCGAUAAGUCCACAAUCAUGUAAAGACAAUGUUUUAAGAGAAGCGAAUACUCCAAUGCUUUGCAAAAUGUUGGUGUUGAGAGUAGAUCCGCCAAAAUAUAAUUCCUCCACAUUACUCGACACAUUUAAUUCUAAAGGAUGAGAAGAGGUAUUAGAUGUUAAUCAAACGUAAGCUGUUUUGGAAAAGAAAAUAAUGACUUUCACUUACCUUGAGUAGCCAGAGUCAUGUUCAGAUAAUUGUAUUGUAGAUGAAAGGCUUUAACUGAUGAGAAAGCCUCCACUAAAUUUUGUAAUGGAAUGCUUCCAUCGGUGAAGCGUGAUAAAGAAACAAAACUUUCAAAUUUCUCAAUCCCUUAUUUUCUGUAAGUGAAAGAAAUAUAUAAAUAUUUAUUUUCAUCAAUAAAAUAAAAUUUUAAUAGAGAAUGUCCAAAUCUUAACAUAACUAUUUAUUCAUUUUAUUAAUUAAACUAAUCCCUUUUUUUUUUCUUCUUUUAGCAUUCUAAGAUAAAAUAUAAUUUCAAAAUAAUUUUUUUCUUGAUUCAUAUCAGAUUUAAAUAUGUUUGAAAUUAAUUUAGCAUUUAAUUCCUUAAUAUUAGUAUUUGGUACUAGUAAUGGAGUUUUUUAACUCUACAAGUGAAGUUAAAAAAUGGCCAGUAACCUAUUUCUUUUAAAUAUUUCUUUUUUUAAUAUUUUAUUAUACCAUAUAAUAUAUUUGUUAUUAUCUCAAUCCUACUUAUGAAGUUUAGAAUUUCAUUAAUAGUACCACCCCGAUUUUUUUUAAAAAACCAGAUUUUUUUUAAAAAAAAAUUUGAUAAAAGAAAAGAGUUUCAUUAAUAGUACUAAAUAUUUUCCCUUAAACUUAAUUUACUUUGUACUCAAUUAUAAAUGUUAAGAAAUAUUUUACAAUCUAAUAAAUAAAUUUUUAAUUAAAUUCUCCAUAUUAAAUCAAAAUUUUAAAGCACUAAAUCAUUGCCCUAAAAUUGUCAAAAUACAUCCUUUUGAAUUUUAAAAUUUAUGAAUUCCGAAACAGACUUUCAGCAUCUCAAAUUCUCUAUUUAAAUUUCACCUACAUAGUUUUUUUUUUUUUUUGGAAAUUCUUCAAAAUCUCAUUUAUUUAAAUCAUGGUUCUAUUAUAAGAAAGAAAAUUUUAAACUAAAAAAAUAUUAUUUUUAUUUAAAUCUAAUGUGCAUCUUUUUCUCUUUACAAAAAUAAAUUUUCAAAAUUCAAGUCUAACUAUUAAUAUUGUUGAAAUUAUUUUAUUAAAUCCAUGUUCAUUACGUCAUCUUUUAGUUACAUUGCUAACAAGUUCUUUUAUUUCAAAAUGUCAACACCAAUAAAUUAUUUUUGAAAAAUAACAAUGUUAAUAAUUGAACUUGGAUUUUGAAAUUUAAAAAAUAGAGGGAUCAAAUUCCCAAAAACAAAAAUACAAGAAUUAAAUUACAAAAAAGUUAAAUCACAUUUUUUUAAACCAAAAAGUUAAUAACAUGUGCAUUUUGAAAUUAAUAAAAAAGUUUGAAAAAAAAGUUUAAGCACCUCAAAAUGUAAGUUUAAAUUUCAUAAAAUUGAAGUUUUUUUUUUAAAUUAUUCAAAAUUGAAAUUUAUUUAUUUUUGGCCAAAAAAUGUCAUUUAUUUAACUCUAAUAUGUAUUUUUAUGUUUUAUACUAUUAAAAAUAUAUGAAAUUAAAAUAUAGUUAUAUUACAUAUUAUAAUAUUUUGCAAUCUAAUAAAUAAAUUUUUAAAUUAAAUUCUCCAUAUUAAAUCAAAAUUUUAAAGCACUAAAUCAUUGCCCUAAAAUUGUCAAAAUACAUCCUUUUGAAUUUUAAAAUUUAUAAAUUCCGAAAGAGACUUUCAGCUUCUCAAAUUCUCUAUUUAAAUUUCACCUACAUAGUUUUUUUUGGCAAUUCUUCAAAAUUUCAUUUAUUUAAAUCAUGGUUCUAUUAUAAAAUAGAAAAUUUUAAACUAAAAAAAAUAUUAUUUUUAUUUAAAUCUAAUGUGCAUAUUUUUCUCUUUACAAAAAUAAAUUUUCAAAAUUCAGGUCUAACUAUUAAUACUAUUGAAAUUAUUUUAUUAAAUCCAUGUUCAUUACGUCAUCUUUUAGUUACAUUGCUACCAAGGUUUUUUUAUUUCAAAAUGUCAACACCAAUAAAUUAAUUUUAAAAAAUAACAAUGUUAACAAUUGAACUUGGAUUUUAAAUUUUAAAAAAUAGAGGGAAAUUGACGAAAAUAGAAAUACAAGAAUUAAAUUACAAAUUCGUAAAGAGUACGUAGACCUAUCACAUUUUUUAAACCAAAAGGUUAAUAACAUGUGCAUUUUGAAAUUUAUAAAAAGUUUGGAAAAAAAAUUUUAAGCACCUCAAAAUGUAUGUUUAAAUUUCAUAAAAUUGAAGUUUUUUUUUAAAUUAUUCAAAAUUGACAUUUAUUUAUUUUUGGCCAAAAAAUGCCAUUUAAUUAACUCUAACGUGUAUUUUUAUGUUUUAUGCCAUUUAUUUUACUCAAUUUCAAAAUUCAAGUCUAAUUAUUAAUACUGUUAAAAUUGUUUUAUUAAAUCCAUUUUCAUUAUGUCAUUUUUUAGUUACAUUGCUACCAAAGUUUUUUUUAUUUUAAAAUGUCACACCAACUAAUUAUUUUUAAAAAAAAUUAACAAUUUUAACUAUUGAACUUGGAUUUUAAUUUUUUUUAAUAUUUUAUUAUACCAUAUAAUAUAUUUGUUAUUAUCUCAAUCCUACUUAUGAAGUUUAGAAUUUCAUUAAUAGUACCACCCCAAUUUUUUAAAAAAAACCAGAUUUUUUUUAAAAAAAAUUUGAUAAAAGAAAAUAAUUUUACCAAAUAUUUUCCCUUAAACUUAAUUUACUUUGUACUCAAUUAUAAAUGUUAAGAAAUAUUUUACAAUCUAAUAAAUAAAUUUUUUAAUUAAAUUCUCCAUAUUAAAUCAAAAUUUUAAAGCACUAAAUCAUUGCCCUAAAAUUGUCAAAAUACAUCCUUUUGAAUUUUAAAAUUUAUAAAUUUCGAAAGAGACUUUCAGCUUCUCAAAUUCUCUAUUUAAAUUUCACCUACAUAGUUUUUUUUGGCAAUUCUUCAAAAUCUCAUUUAUUUAAAUCAUGGUUCUAUUAUAAAAUAGAAAAUUUUAAACUAAAAAAAUAUUAUUUUAAUUUAAAUCUAAUGUGCAUAUUUUUAAGUUAAUAACAUGUGCAUUUUGAAAUUUAUAAAAAGUUUGGAAAAAAAAUUUUAAGCACCUCAAAAUGUAUGUUUAAAUUUCAUAAAAUUGAAGUUUUUUUUUAAAUUAUUCAAAAUUGACAUUUAUUUAUUUUUGGCCAAAAAAUGCCAUUUAAUUAACUCUAACGUGUAUUUUUAUGUUUUAUGCCAUUUAUUUUACUCAAUUUCAAAAUUCAAGUCUAAUUAUUAAUACUGUUAAAAUUGUUUUAUUAAAUCCAUUUUCAUUAUGUCAUUUUUUAGUUACAUUGCUACCAAAGUUUUUUUUAUUUCAAAAUGUCACACCAACUAAUUAUUUUUAAAAAAAAUUAACAAUUUUAACUAUUGAACUUGGAUUUUAAUUUUUUUUUUUAAAAAUAGAGGGACUAAAUUCCUAAAAAUAAAAGUAUAAGAAUUAAAUUACAAAUUUAUAAAGAGUAUGUAGACAUAUGUUAAUAACAUGUGCAUUUUGAAAUUUAUAAAAAGUUUGCGAUGGAAGUUUAAGCACCUCUAAAUGUAUGUUUAAAUUUCAUAAAAUUGAAGAUUUUUUUAAAUUAUUCAAAAUUCAUAUUUAUUUAUUUUUGGCAAAAAAAAAUGUGAUUUAUGUAACUCUAAUAUGUAUUUUUAUGUUUUAUACUAUUAAAAAAAUAUGAAAUUAAAAUAUAGUUAUAUUACAUAUUUUCUCAUAAAUAUAUGUUUUUAUUUAUUUGUAAUAUCAUUGUUUUUAUUGUUAUAAUUAUUUUUUAUCUCAUAAAAAUUAAAUAAAUUAUUUUAAAAAAUAUAUUUUUACAAACAAAAUAAUUAUAAACAUUAAUAUUUUAAAAUUAAGAAAAUUUUAAAGAAUUUUAAUUUCAAACUAAAGUUGAAACACAUUAUAAUGGAGGAUUUAGAAAAUGUUUCACCAAACUCAUAUUUUACUUUCAAGUAUGAUAUGAUAUAACUUUAUUAAUAUUUAUGACAAUAACGGUCAUUAUAAUAUCUGAGAUCAAAACUAAAUUUCUAAAUUUAAAAAAAAAAGGAAGUUUAAUUAAAUGAUACCUUGGUGGAUCACCAAAUCUUUCAAUUCAUUAUAUCCCAUAUAUAGUUCCCUUAAGUUGAUGAAUGCUUCCAAAUCUAGGAAAAAAAAAGCAACAAAUCAACUUCAUUAUAUUCUCUUAAAACAUUAUUAUAUUCUUUGUUAAAAAACUAAUAUUUUUACCUUUCGUAUCUAUUGAUCCUUUCAAUUGAUUGUAAUUUAUGCUCAAAGAUUUCAAAUUUGAAAGCUUGUUAAGGGAUGCAAAUACACUAGUAUUGAAGAGAUUGUAAUCUAAAUAAAGCACUUCCAAGUGGGUCAACUCCAAUUUUCUACCACCAUCUACAAAAGAUUUAUAUAAUUUCAUCACUAAAAUGAAUUGGCAUAAAAUUUAAUUAUAUGUAAGAAUUUAGGUAAUUGGUUAAAUAUAAAUGCAUACCUUUAAAGGAUUGAAAGCUUUCAAUUUGAUUCCAACGUAAAUCGAGUUUCUUCAAAUUUGUUAAAUUGCUCAAUCCUAUACAUAUCCAUGUCCAAUUCAAAAAAUCAUUAUGUUAAUAAUUUUAAUUUCUACUUAAUAUUUUAAUGAAAUAAAAAAAAAGUAUAUCUAAAACUUGAAGUGAAGAUGAAAAACCUCAAACGUGAAAUCUGAAUGCUCAAAUUUGAAACAAUUAAUUUUAAAAUGUUCUAGAAAGAAUUAUCAAGAAAAACAAAGUUAUAGCUUUAGUACCUUUAGUAUCUAAUGAGCCUUGCAGACGGUUGUUGUACAAAGUCAAAGACUUUAGGCUUGAAAGCCCCUGAGGAAAGGAAAUUGUGUUGUUCCGAAAGAGAUUAUUACUUAAAUCAAGUUCCUCUAAGUUUGUUAGCCUCCAUUGUGUUCCAUCUAUCAUUGGAAGAAAAUAAUUAGUAUAGUUAAUAUCAUUCAAUAUAUAAAUAGCUAGGAAAAAUGAUUGUUUGAGAAGGAAGAGCCAAUUUACAAGCUUUCCCAUGAAUUGAUAACUACAUUUUACAAGUAAAACUUAAUUGAUUCAACAUAUAAAUACUUUGUUUGAGAUACCUUCCUACUUAAUUUACUCAAUUUUGAAAUAUUGCAACAUUAACUGUCCCUUAAACAAAAAUUGGUUUUAAAGUAAAAAAGAAACAUAUAAAACCAGUCUACCUUUAAUAUGAAUUGACAUAUAAAUACUGUACUUAUACCUUGGUUUGAGAUGCUUUCAAUGUUGUUGUCACUUAAAUCCAAGUAUUUCAAGUUUGUCAAAUUAUUCAACCCUAAAAUUCAAUCCCAAAUAUUGAUUAGUUAUAUAUUCAUCGUAUGAUGAAAUCAAACUUGAAUAUACAUUGAUUUUUAAAGUUGAAAAGAAACAGGUAAAAUCAGUCUACCUUGAAUAUGAUCCAGCCUUCCUUUCAACUGAUUACGUCUCAAUCUUAAAGUCUUCAAGGAUGAAAGAUUUCUCAUAUGGAACAAAAUGCUAUUCUUCAAAGAAUUCCAACUUAAAUCAAGAGUUUCCAAGUUAUUGAGUCUUGAAAGCAAUUGAAAACCUGAUAUAUAUACAUAAUUACUUGUUAAUUUUUUCUUUCUUUCUUAGCUAUAUGAAAAUUUUACUAAAGCAAAAGUAGAAUUACAACGGAUAAAAAGAAUGGAAAACUAGGUACCAAGCCUAGAAGACCAUCCUCAAACUCCACUAUACAAAUAAAAACUAACACUAGACCAAACUUAAUUUACCUCUUAGAUGACCUGAUCCUUCAAAUUUGUUGCUUGAUAAAUUUAAAUACCGGAGAGAUGAAAGCUCACUUAAAGAUAACAAAAUGCUGUCAUUCAAGUAGUUUUCACUUAAGUCAAGGAUCUCCAAAUUACUCAAUGUGGAUGAUAGUUUUCCAAAGCCUGUAGAAGUGUUCUUUUAAAUAUAUACAAGCAGUUAGUAACUUUUCUUCAAUAAAAUAUAAGUAAUUGUAAAUUAUCAAUGGUGAGAAUAGUGGAAUAGUAAAAGAUGUAAUUAAGGAAAAAUUAAAGGCACGACCUUCAUUUUCAAGGUUACCACCCAUGGCAUUUCCCGACAAAUAAAGUCUCUUCAAUUCCUCAAAGGGAAGAAACAUAGAGGCAUUGAGAUACCAGGCAUUGAGAUUCCUAUUAUCCAUGUCGUAUUCCAUAUUGUAUAACCAUAUUGUAGAAUUAAGGGAGAGUUGUAUGAGUCUCCUAGUGGUGGUGUUACACUCAACUCUUUCCCAUUUACAACAAUCUGAACCCUUCACCUCAACCCAACUUUGCAAUUGAUUACCAUAAUUGAAGAAAGGCUUGAGAUGCAAGAGAGCGAUUCUCUCAUGCUCCAAACAAGCAUCAGUAGUACACCAACUGCAUCUUUCUAACACCAACAACAUUACUGCCAUCCUAAUAAACCAUAAGUACCAUUUCCACUCCAUCAUCAUCAUCAUCUUUCUGUUUUCACUUCUCUCUCAGCUAUAUGUUACUUUUUUUUAACUUCUAUAUGUAUAUAAUCUAAAGAAGCCUAAGCUUCUUAUUUAUAUACAAGCAGAACAUACUGCAUCCCACUAAUUCACUAUAAUAUAAAAAUAAUAUAUAAUUAAUUAAUUCCUCAAAAAUUGGAUCAAUCUAGGCUUCUUAUUUACAUAAAUUCCUUAUUGCAAAAACUCUAGGUGGAAAUUCAUUAGGAAAUGAUGAAAGGACUGCAAGAAUGCUUAUCAACCCUUGACUUUGGCAUUCAAUGCUAAAUUUAUUUUAAAAUUUCUUCAUGGAGACAAGAUGGGAUGACAAGAAUGAUAAGUUUUAAGUCAUUUAAGUUUAUCACUCAUAAAAAUAAGUCUUAACAUUCUAUUAAAGAAUUUAAGCAUGGCUCAACGUUGAUUUUAAAUCUAAUGUUGAUGUUAAUCUUGAAAAACGAAUGGCCAAAAAAAUAUGAAAAGUGAGAGGUGGACAUUAAAUCAUGUAGUUGGAGUUAUAAAAUACUUCAUGUGGUUUUCUUGUGAGUUUCAUUUAUACCCUUCUUACACUUAUACAAAGUUAAUCUUGACUUGGCUUUAUUAACGGAAAAUUUAGGUCUUCAUUUUUUGUUUUAUUCAUGGAAAUUUUUAUUCAUGGAAAUUUUACUUCUUUGAUUUUGGUUUUAUUAAUGGAAAUUUUAGGUUUUGAAAGUUUUUUUUUUCCCGGAAGAUUUUGUAAGUUUAAACCAAAUAUGAUUAUAUAAUUUUUACUACUUUCUUUUUAAUAUUUUAAAAACCAAUUAAAUAUUUAAGCAUAUUUUUUUUAGAAAAAUAUUUAAACAUAAAAUAUAUGAAUUUAUUUUAUAAUACAUUUUUACUUUUUUUAAUAUUUAUAUAUAUAGAAGGAUGAAAUUGUAAUUUUAUAUAGUAGAGUGGGAUGGGAUGGAACAAGGAAUUACCGUAACGGCUCCAUAGUCAUUGUCCAAUGGAAAAAAAAAUCCACCCAUCCCACCUUGCUUCCACUUUUCUAAAAAAAAAUCCACUCCAUUCUAAGUAGAUCGUUUCAAAAUUCAUCGGACAGUUCAGGAUUUGCUACCUCUACAUAAACCUCUCCAAACCUUUAAAUUCAUUUAAUUCGAAAUUUGAAAAAGACAUCGAUUUUUUUUAUAUGACUUAAAAUUUUACUUGAAUAUUUUUACAAUUAAUUAAUUAAAUUGGGUUAUUUUAAAAAGCCGCUCUUAACUAAUAGUCGAAAAAAAUUAAAGUUUCCAAUGUAAAAAAAAUUAGUUUUAUGGAAAAAUAAAGUCUUGAAAUAUUACUUUAGGUUUGGAAAUGUUGAACUUGAUAUUAACAUCUGAAAAUUGAUAGCGAAUCGACUUAUAUGUACAAAACUUAUAUUAACUAGAUUUUUAGUGAGUAAUAUGUAAAAAUAACAAGUGGGCAUAACAUUAGACAUAUGAUAAUAUGUUUGUCACACCAAAUCUUGGAGAUAGUAGAACUUAAUGAAUUUACAAAAUAUCAUUUAGUGAGGAUUGAAAUUUUAAAAUUUCAAAAAGCAUAAGAUCUAAAAUAUCAAAUUAAAGUCUAGGAAUUAAAUCUACAACUUCAAUAAAGUACAAAAACUAUAUGGUAGAAUUUAACCUUUAUAUAAUAAUUUCGUUAUGUGAACCACAACUCAAGUACAUUCCAUAAAUAACAUUAAAAAAUUGGUAUGUGUCUUCUUCUUUUUUUAAUAUUCAUUUUUUAACAUUAUAUACUACACCUCUACAAGACAUGUCUCACUCAUCUGAUCCUUCUUAUAGAGUUUAAAAACUCCACCUACUGUGUACUAAAUAUUAAUUAGUCCAAUUACUAUACUAUUCAUGAUUUAAGGAUAAAGAUAAAAUAUAAUAUUUGCUUAAAAAUCUCAAUUAUAUACAUUUGGUGACCCAUUAUGUUGUAAUAUAGCACCAUCUACGAAGUAGUUCGAGGAAAUUGUUAAGAAAAUAUUAUUACAUAUAUCAACAAUCACAUAAUUCAUUGCAUUAACUUUCAAAUGUUGACUAUUGACUUCUGCGUCAACCUUGAUCUUAUAUAGGCCCCCUAAUAAUUUAGGUUGUGUAAAUAAUCUCACAUUUAAUGCCUGAGAAAUUAUUAUAGAUGAAAUUAUAGUUUUAAUCCCUAUAUUUACUCACAUAAAUAAUGUUCCUCGAUCAAAUUAAGUGCUCUCAAUGAUUAAUACAAGAGCCUAUACAAGUCUCUUAAUUAUAUAAAGAUUUUAAGAUUUGCUAACCUAAUGAAGAUCAUUCACAAUCCCUUCUAAAAGAUAGCUAAAAUAGUUGAAUACAAUAUAAUAAUAACAACUAAGGCAAUAUGAGCUGUUGGCAAAUAAGGUAUUAAUGUUUCGAUCUGAUCCAACUUCCUCAAUCUAAGGGAUUAGAUAGGCUUGAUCCGAUCCUAUUUAACUUGAUCCUUCAAAUAAGUUUCUCCAAGUACUAUGAUAUUCAUUGAUGGACUUGAUAUAACCCACGAUAUCAACUCAACCCAAAGAUAUGGUUCAAUAAAUUGCCAAACUCCUAAAUGUGGGAAGUUGUUUAAUGUGCCUAUGUGCCGCAAUGGUAAAGGAUGUGGGCACUUCCUCACACACAUCGCAACAACUCUAAAUUUUUCAACAGAAAUGAAUAUAAUUUUUAACAGAAUGAUCAAUUAAUUUUUUUUAUCAAACAUACAUGUAACGUCUUAAAAUUUUAAUUUUGGGUAUUGUGAAUGUGUGACACAAAAUAUCUGUUUACUUUAGUGGUUAUGUGCUUUAGGUGUGUUUGGGAGGUCCUAAGUUCUAGCCAGAACUUGGGCAAAAUUUGGUAUUUUUAUGAAUAGACCUAUCUUUGGUCAGUAGGCUUUUAAGUAAAAGUUAGCAAAUAAUUAACAGAAUGGGUCUGCUGAUCUGAUGGAUAAGUGGAGUGUUAGAGUGUUGGAGGUCUUGUGUUCAAAUCUUGGCGUGGACAUUAUUUUUGCUCGUGCGUCCAGGAGAGUUUGAGAUGGACUAAAAAUCUGAGUAGUGGAUUUAGUGGGGAGUUUGAUGGAGAAAAAUAAGGGAUUGGGGUGGUUAUCAAAUAUUUUGUUCAUUUUUUUCUCUCUUUCUUUUUUUUUUACUUUCCCCAAAAUCCGUCCACUCUCUUGCCGUUAUUCUCUUCAUUGCUGCAGAAUUUUUGCUUUCUUUCACCCUUUAUCUUCUUGAUUUUUCUUUUCCCACUCUGCCUCGUGUCACUCCAUGUUUAUUUGCGAUCGUUUUGUAAGUUUUAGAUAAGUGAUUUGUCUCUGUUUGUUAACUUUCUUCUGAAGUGUUUUGUUUAUGCCAAAUAAGGAAGGAUUCAAUGGCUCGUAAUCACCAAUUGGAGUCUUAGUUUUUGUGGGAAUUCUUGUUCAUCAGUUGAAGGUAAGAUUUAGUCGCUUAUGGGUUAAAAUCUUGAUACGAGUUCGAUUUAGGAUCACGUUAUAUGAGAUUAAAUUGAUGUUAUUUUUUUAAUUAUAGGAUUUGGAGUGCUCGGGGACUGUUUUAGCAUCAAACAAAACUAGGUGUGUACCCGUAAUGCAAAAAUAAGGGAUUCGGUAAAAUGCUAAAAUUGCCUACUGUUUGGACAAAAGCAGUAGGCUGAAUUUAAAAAAUCACCAUAAAUUGUGAAAAUCAAAUUUUAUGCAAUAUAACUCCACACAGAAAUGGAUUUCCCUCAUAACUAUUUUCAAUAAAGGUCCCAAAUUGAGCUUUUGGUUCGGGAAUACUACCUGACAAGUUGUUGUAUGCCACGCUGAAAACCUCCAAAGAGUUCAACUCUACCAAUUGAUUGGGGAUUUCACCACUCAAGUUGUUGUAAGAAAGGUCCAAACUCUCAAUUUGAUGAAGUUUUGAGAAUGACGAGGGUAUAACUCCGGUCAACUUAUUGUGUGAAAGGUUUAAAGAAUGGAUUUCACUCAAGUUCCCUAAUUCUGGUGGGAUAUGACCAGUUAAGUUGUUGCAAGAUAAAUCAAUCCCAGUCAUAUAUGAAAGGAUAUCGCCCUUGUACGAAUAGAACCCACUCUUUGUUGUGAAUUCUAUUACUUCUUCUAAGUAGCUUGUAGGAUAGUAGGGAUUUAUAUCCCUUACCAAUUUUCUCAUUGCAAUGGAUGUUGAUUCAUCCCUUUCUAUAAAUGGAAGGUAGAGCUUAGUUGUUAGACUCUCUUUCUCUUUCAAUGGAAGAGAUAAAUUUCCCAAACAAGAAGGUAUAGGACCAGAAAACAUAUUUUGAGAAAGAUCUAUGAUGCUUAAAGAGUGCAACUUGCAUAACUGAACUGGAACUUCACCGUGAAAAUGAUUAUCUUUCAGAAGAAGAACACUCAAAGAAGAAAGUGUGUCAAUCCAUUUUGGAAUAUUACCUGUCAAAUUGUUUCCCCUAAGAUCUAAAGUCACUAGAGAAAAGCUAUUAUAAAAAGCAAGUGAUAGUGGACCUCUAAGUCUAUUUCCGUGGAGGUGGACAUGCUCUAUGUUUGGUGGAUUAAAACAUGACGGUAUAGAUCCAGAUAAAUGAUUUUGGGAAAGAUCCAAAAAGUCCAAGCUAUUCAACUUGCAAAAUUCCAUUGGAAUAAAACCCUCGAAACCAUUGUUGGACAAAACUAAUCUCUCCAAAAACGAUGCAUUCCCUAUCCAUCUUGGGAGCUUUCCAUGCAACUUGAUUAGGUAAGGGACCAAUAAGUCCACAAUCAUAUAAAGGCAGGGUUUUAAGAGAACUGAAUACUCCAAUGCAUUGUAAAAUGUUGGUGUUGAGAGUAGAAUAGUCAAGAUAUAUUUCCUCCACAUUGCUUGACACAUUUAAUUCUAAAGGAUGAGAAGAGGUAUUAGAUGUUAAUCGAACGUAAUCUGUUUUGGAAAAGAAAAUAAUGACUUUCACUUACCUUGAGUAGCCAGAGUCAUGUUCAGAUAACUGCCUUAUAGAUAAAAGGUUUUAACUGAUGAGAAAGCCUCCACUAACUUUUGUAAUGGAAUGCUUCCAUCGGUGAAAACUUGAUCAAGAUCAACAACUUUCAAAUUUCUGUAAGUGGAAGAAAUAAAUAAAUAUUUGUUUUCAUCAAUAAGAUAAAAGUUUAAUAGAGAAUGUACAAAUCUUAACAUAACUAUUCAUUCAUUUUAUUAAUUAAUAAACUAAUCCUUUUUUAGCAUUCUAAGAUAAAAUAAAAUUUCAAAAUAAUUUGAUCUUGAUUCAUAUCAGAUUUAAAUAUAUGAGCAUAUUCUUUUAAAAACUCAAAUAUGUUUGAAAUCAAUUUAGCAUUUAACCUUAAUGUUAGUUUUUGGUACUGGAAAUGAAGUUUUUUAACUCUACAAGUGAAGUUAAAAAAUGGCCAGUAACCUAUUUAUUUUUUAAUAUUUUACUAUACCAUAUAAGAUAUUUGUUAUUAUCUCAAUCCUACUUAUGAAGUUUAGAAUUUCAUUAGCCCUUAAACUAAAUUUACUUUGUACUCAAUUACAAAUGUUAAGAAAUAUUUUACAAUCUAAUAAAUAAAUUUUUUAAUUAAAUUCACCAUAUUAAAUAAAAAUUUUAAAGCACCUAAAAUUGUCAAAUACAUUCUUUUGAAUUUUAGAAUUUAUGAAUUCCGAAACAGACUUUCAGCAUCUCAAAUUCUCUAUUUAAAUUUCACCUACAUAGUUUUUCUAGAAAUUCUUCAAAACUUCAUUUAUUUAAAUCAAUGGUUCUAUUAUAAAAUAGAGAAUUUAAAACUAAAAAGAUAUUAUUUUUAUUUAAAUCUAAUAUGCAUAUUUUUCUCUUUACAAAAAAUAAAUUUUCAAAAUCCAGGUCUACUAUUAAUACUGUUGAAAUUAUUUUAUUAAAUCCAUAUUCAUUUCAUCAUCUUUUAAUUACAUUGUUAUCAAGUUCUUUUAUUUUAAAAAAAUAUCACACUUUUUAGUUGUUUACAGAAUCAUAAUGUUAAUUAGAGUGGAAUAUUUCAGAUUUCUGAUGAUGAGCAUAUUCUUGAGUAUUGCAGUAAAAAAAUGGGUGUGGAACUUAUUUGAACUUUGAAUAUAAACGAACGUGUCAAAAAUUUAAGUACAACGAAUUAUUAACAUGUAAAUGUAUAAUACGGUAUGCAAAAAUAAGAUAAUUGCUUGUUUUUUUAAUUGAAUUGUUAUAACACAUUAUACACAAUACAUUGUGAAUUAAAGCAUAACAUAAAGAAUUGCAUUGUUUGUGAGGUUUUAAAAUAUUCUAGUUUUAGAUUCAAUUUUCUAGUAUGUUUGGUUUAAUUUUACAUUAGAUUUCCUUUUCAGUAUGCACUAGUGAAUACUUGGCAGUCAAUUUAAUUUAAUUUAAAGAGAUAUUGCAUAUACAUAGAAGAAAAAAGAAAUAGAUGGUUGAAAAUGAUUAAACCAUAAGAUAAAAGAGCUUUUAUUCAAAAUGCAAAAAUCAACAAAAUAUUAAUUAUCGCUCAACUUAGCAUAAUUAAACAUUUAGGUGUGAAAAUCAAAUCACAAUUUGAGUAGCUAAACAUAUCGCUUGAAAAUGUGAUAAGUAAGAAACUUGCCCACAUUUGAGUAGCGACAGGUGGUGAUGCAUUUCCCAACGAGAGAAAACCAAGCUCUUUGCCAGUAUGGAUUUAUGUAGAGGACAACAAAAAUUGUCAACAACACAACUACAUAAGAAACCAAAAAGCUCACACAAAAAUCACCUAUCAAACCAUCUUCUCCUUUAUCUUCUGAUACAGUUAAUAUCGUUGAUGGCGAAUCGAUUUUGGAACAACUUUUAUGCAAUAUAGCUCCACAAAGAAAAGGAUUUCCCUCAUAACUGUUUUCAAUAAAGGUCCCAAAUUGAGCUUUUUCGGGAAUACUACCUGACAAGUUGUUGUAUGCCACGCUGAAAACCUCCAAAGAGUUCAACUCUACCAACUGAUUGGGGAUUUCACCACUCAAAUUGUUGUAAGAAAGGUCCAAACUCUCAAUUUGAUGUAGUUUUGCGAAUGACGAGGGUAUAACUCCUGUCAACUUAUUGUGCGACAAGUUUAAAGAAUGGAUUUCACUUAAGUUCCCUAAUUCUGGUGGGAUAUGACCAGUUAAGUUGUUGCAAGAUAAAUCAAUCCCGGUCAUAUAUGAAAGGAUGUUGCCCUCGUACAAAAAGAUCCCACUCUUUGUUGUGAACUCUAUUACUUCUUCUAAGUAGCUGUCAGGAUAGGAAGAAUCUAUUCCCAAAUUUAGUAUCAUACUGCGUGUUGUUUCAUCCUCUUCUAUAGGCCCAUAGAACUCAGUGUCUAGAAUCUUCUUCGUUUGCAUUAGAAGAGAUAAAUUUCCCAAGCAAGAAGGUAUAGGACCAGAAAACAUAUUUUGAGAAAGAUCUAUGAUGCUUAAAGAAUGCAACUUGCAUAACUCAACAGGAACUUUACCAUGAAAAUGAUUAUCUUUCAAGAGAAGAACACUCAAAGAAGAAAGCGUGUAAAUCCAUUUUGGAAUACUACCUGUCAAAUUGUUUCCUCUAAGAUCUAAACUCACUAUUGAAGAGCUAUUAUAAAAAGCAAGCGACAGUGGGCCUCUCAGUCUAUUCCCGUGGAUGUGGACAUGCUCUAUGUAUGGUGGAUUAAAACAUGACGGUAUAGAGCCAGAUAAAUUAUUCUGAGAAAGAUCCAAAAAUUCCAACCUAUUCAACUUGCAAAAUUCCAUUGGAAUAGAACCUUCAAAACCAUUAUUAGACAAAUCUAAUCUCCACAAAAAUGAUGCAUUCCCUAUCCAUCUUGGGAGCUUUCCAUGCAACUUGUUGUUACUGAGAUCAAUUUGGCUUAGUGAAUAUGGAAACUCAAAAGUAGAGGCAUUAACAUUUGUCAUCUCUCCUGAAAAAUUAUUUCCAUCCAAAUAUAAAUUCUCCACCCCAUUCGCGCUGAGAAUCACAGGAACUACAUUUCCACUGAAGUUGUUAUUUGAUAGUUUCAAAAUGAUCAGUGAGCCUUUCGUGAUCAACUCUUCUGGUACUUUUCCAUACAAUUGAUUGUUUGAUAGAUCUAAAAAUGAUAAGUACUUCAUGCCACUUAAACAAAGUGGGAUAUUACCUUCAAAAGCAUUCUUGGAUAAGAGUAACCGCCUCAAAUGUGGAAAAGUUGAACAUAUACCAGUCGGAAUUUGACCUUGUAAUUUGUUUUCAGAUAUGUCAAUUGAAGAUACAUUAGAAAUAAGAGCUGACGAACGUGAGAGAGGACCUGUAAAUGAAUUACCCUUCAAGAUGAGUUCUUCUAACUUUGUGUUGUUUUCUAGCAACCAAGUUGGUAAAGUUCCACUGAGAUUGUUAUGAGAAAGAUCCACAUAUCUCAAGUCAUAUUGGUAGUAAAGGAAGGUAGGAACUUUUCGACUGAGUUGUUGAGAUGUUAUGCACUUUGACAAACUGAUGACUUCCAAUUGGAACUUUGGGAUUGAGGUAUAAAAGGAAGGUUCCAAUACCAUUUUGUUUUCAUUACUGGAGAGGGCUUUGAGGUUUGAAAGGUUUGCAAAUGGUGCAAAUGACAGUGGAAUUUGAAAAUGGUUUCUUGAAAUAUCUAACACACGAAGAGAUGUCAAGUUACUAAAACAAUGAGGAAGCAUCCCCUCAAGUGCAUUCUCACUCACUUCCAACACUUCAAGGUUCCUUAGAUCACACCAUCC